RNAcentral lists this non-coding RNA (21 nucleotides) under Arabidopsis thaliana (thale cress). The record is from RNAcentral. Lineage: Eukaryota; Viridiplantae; Streptophyta; Magnoliopsida; Brassicales; Brassicaceae.
CGUGAUACAAUUUCAUGGGCA